CCUACGGGUGGCAGCAGUGAGGAAUAUUGGUCAAUGGACGGAAGUCUGAACCAGCCAUGCCGCGUGCAGGAUGACGGCUCUAUGAUUUUUAAACUGCUUUUGUACGAGAAUAAUAGUUCUUACGUGUAGGGAUUUGAAUGUAUCGUACGAAUAAGGAUCGGCUAACUCCGUGCCAGCAGCCGCGGUAAUACGGAGGAUUCGAGCGUUAUCCGGAUUGAUUGGGUUUAGGGGGUGCGUAGGCUGUAGGAGAAGUUAGAGGUCAAAUGUCGGGGCUUAACCCCGUGCCUGCCUCUGAUACUGUUCGACUUGAGAGCGGAUGCGGCAGGCGGAAUGAGUAGUGUAGCGGUGAAAUGCGUAGAUAUUA
This 364-nucleotide ribosomal RNA is filed under the name uncultured bacterium. RNAcentral describes it as "partial 16S ribosomal RNA". It matches the Rfam family "Bacterial small subunit ribosomal RNA", at positions 338 to 699 of the family's 1533-position model. The record is from RNAcentral.